GGUGCGGUGCGGUGCGGUGCUCGGUGCUAGUGCUGCUGAUAACAAGUGUUCUCAAAUACUUUUGCCACGAGAAAUAAUAAUUUUACAUGUGUCGUGAUAUAAAAUUCAUUUUCGUAAUGUUUAAGUGAAGUUAGAAAACUGAAAUAAAUCAAUAAUGGAUAAGUCAAAACAUAAAACAGGAAAGAAAAUGGAUAAGAACAAUGGUAAAGAAAAAUCACCUCUUUUUGUGUCGGAUGUCAAAAACUUAAAAGAAAAUCUUAAAAUCAAGGAGAUUUUAAGAACUGUUAAAAUGAAUAGCAGUAUGCGCUUAAAGUCACCACAAUGCAAUAAAACUAUUAACAAUAAAGACGUCAACGACAACCAAGAUUGUUUUGAGAGUGCUUCACAGGAACUACAAGACCAUACGACAGUUGAAUCAAAUCCAAGUGCAACUAACCAUAAUGUCAUCACAUCAACAUUAAAUGUAGAUACAGGAACGAGUGAUAACGAUUUACAAAAAAAUGAGGGCAUCAAGGUCACUAUUUAUGAAGUACCAAACACCUGUACAGAAAGCAAUGACAGUCUAUCGUCAAACACGUUGUCAGAAAAUUGUAAUGACCUUAAAGAAUCAAAAAAUAAUGAAGAAAUAACUGGAACUGAUAACAAUGCCAACGAAGUAACCUCUUCGUCGAAACCAGCUAACCAUAUGACAAAUUUAAAACCAAGAGACAGAAAACUCUCAUUAGAUCAAACAAUUUUAUCAAGACGCGCAGGCUUAUCACAAUCAGAAUUAGAUUUAAAUUUAAUUGGUAAAUCUCCAUUGGAGCGUAAAUCUUCGUUCUUUAGAAAGAAGAUGGACAAUUUUCUGAAAAACACAACAGAAAUAUUUAAAAGACAGUCACAAAGUUUUAAAUCACAACCUACACAGAGAAGGGGGUCCAAGUCGAUUUCCUUACAAUCUCUAACCGACAAAAAUUAUCCUAGUAACGGUUAUAAUAACGACGGCACGUUACAAAUUCCGCAGGAGAUGAGGAACAGUGCAACAAGUCUGGUACGGAGUUCGUCGAUGGCGAGUAGCAUAAGUCCGGAGGGGGUGGAACAAGACAGCCCGUCGGCCAGUCAACCUGUCUUGUUCACAAGUCAGCCACUUGGAGAUUACUCUUCAAAUAGUGUUAACAAUUUGAACGAGCCGUAUGUACAAGAAUCGCUUUUAAAAUCCCGAGCAAUAUCCAUGAGCUCUGGUUUAGACGCCCCGCAGGGGAGACUGCGGCGGAAAGCAUCCAAAUCUAACAGAGUCACGUGGUUAGCAAGCGAAGGUCUAACGAAUUACUUCAAACGUGUAAUGCAAGAUGAGAAGAGUAGAGAGGUGCAGUCAUGCCAUUCGUACCAGGAUUUUUCGAGCAUACCAGAACACGCGUCGUACGGCCCGACAACUGACAGCAAAGGGAGGCGGCUGUCGUACCAACGCGCUGUAUCGGGGGAGGACCCGGUACACCCAACGAGGUACUACGACACAUCACAGAGGAGAAAGAAUUUCAUACCGGAACAUCAAGUGCCAAACACCGAGAUGGAGGCCAAGCUCGACGAAUUCUCAAUAUACGGGGUGCCCCAACUCCAUGGCUUCGUAGCUAUCACCAUCCCGCAGCACGCUAUGGAAUACCUGCGCUGGGCCGAACAGCCUGAUGAAAUACAGCUGUAUUACGAGAGAUGCAAUAUUCCGCCGACGGAUGAGACGCGGCAGGCUGUCCUUCGCGAGCUGAUCACCACUGAGGCUGAUCAUAUUAGACACCUCAAAUCUCUUGUCGAGGUAUUCAUGGCAGCAGCGCACGCUCUUCAAGAGUAUCAAUUUAUGCUGGAAGUGGAUACACAACAACUCUUUUCUAACAUACCGGACUUAUAUAAUGCCAGUCUUGUUUUCUGGAACGUCACUUUCUACCCCAUGAUUGUGGAGAGCGUGGAAACUGGCCUACCAAUGAAACCAGAACUGAUGUACGAAGGUUUCCAUAACAUCGAGGAAUACUUAAAAUCAUACGAAACGUAUCUAUUGGACAACACAAGAGCUGUUGAAUAUCUUCGGUCUCUAAGUAAUCAUUCAGAAUUCAUGACGUUCCAAUCAUGGUGUAAUAAACAGAAGGAGAUGAACAGACUUCAGCUGGCAGACAUGCUUGCAAAACCUAUGCAACGUAUUACGAAAUAUGCCUUAAUGAUGAACAGAAUUUUCGACACUACAGAAAAGGGCGCAGUGCGUGAUCUUGUGUUUUCUAUGGAAACAGCAAUCAAAAACUUCUUGCAGCAUAUCAACCGCCGCAUACGUCAACGCGAAGAAAAAGACAAGUUAUAUAAGAUAACUAAUACAAUAGAGCCAUUUGAGUUGGAAUUCAAAGACGAAGAAAUGGAAAGGUGUUUCAAAAUGUAUUCACAAUUAGAUUUGCAUGCUCCCAUGAUUUACGUGGCACGGUCUGUUAAACGAUGUGUCGUGUACAGCGGGGACCUUCGUUUUAAAGAUAACAACAACAAAGAGAUCGAUGUUCGCGUCUUUUUAUUUACGGACAUGUUAUUAAUUUGUAAAAAGUUGCCAAAAGGCAGUUUUUAUUUGUAUAAAAUGAUAAGACCAAAAUACAUGGUUGAUAGGCUCCACUUCUACCCGAAGUACAGCCGAACCACUAAGGAAGUGGUAGCUUUAGUAUUUGUUGCUGUAGACGAUUUUCAUUCAGCAUAUCAUAGUUUUACACUGUCAGAACCCUCGAAAGAGGAAAAAACGCAAACCCCUCUUAAAACAAGUUUGCUUCUAACUUGGGAUCAAAAAAUUAAGGAAGCCAAAAUAAGUUAUGAACUUGUCAUUAUAUUCGGACAACGAAGAGAAGGCAUGACUGAAAAAGAACUAGAGUCCGCCGAAACCUCCUUAAAAUUGAUGUCUCCAGAAGAAAUAGCCAUCGAGAAGGAGGGUCGAGAGUGGGCAGCCGUGAUGCUGCAUGGCAAAUUGAGCAGGCAACAGGACUACACAAUGACGAACAUUCCCGAGGACACAUACCAAAUAACUGAAGCAAUCCUCGUUGGCAACUUAGAAGCAGCGCGUCGCUGGAGGAAUCCUGUGCUUCGUAGAUACUCCUCCACCACCGCGGGCAGCUCUCGUGGAUCCCGCUUGUCCAGCUUGCAAAAGUCUACCAGUGCGACAUCGCGCGACGAACCGCAGCCAAGCACAAGCAGGGGACCAUAUUACCAGAGCGACUCCAUUGAUGCUCCAUUUGGAAAAAUGGAAUCGGAAGAUACAUUUAAUGACGACAUAUCGGAAGAUGAAUAUGCCGACUCUCCACUACCAUCAUCGCUGUUGACGCCAUUGUUAUCACCUCAGUUAAGCUCUCCCGCGCUUCAGCCUCCGGCUCUACACCAAUCGGUAAUAAGGCCAGAGGUUAUUCACGAAUUAGCACUACAUCCACCGAUGAUACAUGAAGCGAUAACCCAUGGGCCAAACAUCCAAGAACCGUCACAGGCAAUGAUGUUUGAACAAAUUCCUUCAAUGGUCGUGCAGCCUUUGAACCAGCCACCAGCUAUAGUAGAGCCAGUCACGGUAUCUAUAGUUGAGAACCCACCAUUGCAACGUGCUGUUAUUUCGAACCCAUUAGUACAAUUCAGGGCUAAUCAGGUGCACUGUAAUCCAAAACCAUUGUCGGAACUGCACGUAGCUCAGGAACCGAAAAGGCAGCAGUCAAAUGCCCAGCUAUCGAUGGCUGUUGGUAUUCCGAUACCGAUUCCAAUACCAUUCCCGCUACUGCCAAAUUUACGCGGUGACAUCGCAGCUAAAAGUGGCCAUGGUGAGGAGGAUAGGGGAAGGAGGAAGAAAGGUCGUGCAAUUCAUGUUCCACGUGCCAAGAGCGUCCAAAGUGGUCGUGGCGCUCAAAUUCAGCAUGUCCAGCGAUCUAAGAGCGUGCAGAGCGCUCACGGUUUACAGUUCGUGCAGCAAGCAGACCGGAAUCAGAGCGCCAUGAGUGACUAUAGCGUUAAGAGUACCCAAAGUGAGCACGUGGGACAUCGGAAGAAUGGCCGCGGACGUCGGGGAAAACGGGCUGCUAGCGCCAGUCCCAGUACACUGCGGGUAAUCCCGCCAGACGACUUGACGACAUCGAUGCACAGCUUGCCUGAUUUAACAGUAGAACCUCCUUCUCCACGUCAUCCUCCUAGUCCGCAAUCUGCUUCGGAGCAGAUGUAUCAAUCUCAUCAAGAGCAGUUGCAGCGAAACAGGGAGGUAGCGCAGCACCAACAAUACUUGAGCCCCGACCACCGCGGCACCAGCUAUCCCCCUACCAGUCCCAGCAGGCAUGACCAUUUCUAUUAAUUGACUGACGCUAAGUCACGUCGCUACUCAAGACAUUAAAGUAACAUAAAUUUACAGUACCUUAAACUAUAACAGUGCUAUAGUACGUAGAAUGCUUUAAAUAGUGAAUGUGCAAUUUAAAAUAGUGUUUCAAUAUAAAGUCAGUGAUCCAGUAGUACAUUUAUCCAAUAUCAUCAUUAAAUAACUGAGCAAUGUGUUGAACUAUGAAUAAUGCUACGCUCGAAGCUUAAAACGUAUUGGCCAGCAAUAGCAUGCUAAGAAUUAGUUAAGUUAACUCUUCCAGUUUACAAAAUACGCUAGUAGUACAACUCUUGUAAAAAAACUUAAGACUAUCCGGAAUUUAAACAUUUUGACCGUUGGUACACCUUAGGACAAUCUUCUAGUGGUCGAAUUUGAGACGCG
Papilio polytes (common Mormon) is the source of this 4714-nucleotide RNA transcript. RefSeq lists it as uncharacterized. The record is from RefSeq and is a predicted model, not a curated record. Lineage: Eukaryota; Metazoa; Arthropoda; Insecta; Lepidoptera; Papilionidae. The transcript is spliced from 21 exons.